This 140-nucleotide ribosomal RNA is filed under the name uncultured bacterium. RNAcentral's name for it is "partial 16S ribosomal RNA". It matches the Rfam family "Bacterial small subunit ribosomal RNA", at positions 355 to 507 of the family's 1533-position model. The record is from RNAcentral.
UGGGGAAUAUUGGGCAAUGGACGCAAGUCUGACCCAGCGACGCCGCGUGAGGGAUGAAGGCCUUCGGGUUGUAAACCUCUUUCAGUAGGGAAGAAGCGAAAGUGACGGUACCUAAAGAAGAAGCACCGGCUAACUAUGUG